This 1397-nucleotide ribosomal RNA is filed under the name uncultured bacterium. RNAcentral describes it as "bacterial SSU rRNA". It matches the Rfam family "Bacterial small subunit ribosomal RNA". The record is from RNAcentral.
AGAGUUUGAUCCUGGCUCAGGAUGAACGCUAGCUACAGGCUUAACACAUGCAAGUCGAGGGGCAGCAUGGUCUUAGCUUGCUAAGGCCGAUGGCGACCGGCGCACGGGUGAGUAACACGUAUCCAACCUGCCGUCUACUCUUGGACAGCCUUCUGAAAGGAAGAUUAAUACAAGAUGGCAUCAUGAGUCCGCAUGUUCACAUGAUUAAAGGUAUUCCGGUAGACGAUGGGGAUGCGUUCCAUUAGAUAGUAGGCGGGGUAACGGCCCACCUAGUCUUCGAUGGAUAGGGGUUCUGAGAGGAAGGUCCCCCACAUUGGAACUGAGACACGGUCCAAACUCCUACGGGAGGCAGCAGUGAGGAAUAUUGGUCAAUGGGCGAGAGCCUGAACCAGCCAAGUAGCGUGAAGGAUGACUGCCCUAUGGGUUGUAAACUUCUUUUAUAAAGGAAUAAAGUCGGGUAUGCAUACCCGUUUGCAUGUACUUUAUGAAUAAGGAUCGGCUAACUCCGUGCCAGCAGCCGCGGUAAUACGGAGGAUCCGAGCGUUAUCCGGAUUUAUUGGGUUUAAAGGGAGCGUAGAUGGAUGUUUAAGUCAGUUGUGAAAGUUUGCGGCUCAACCGUAAAAUUGCAGUUGAUACUGGAUAUCUUGAGUGCAGUUGAGGCAGGCGGAAUUCGUGGUGUAGCGGUGAAAUGCUUAGAUAUCACGAAGAACUCCGAUUGCGAAGGCAGCCUGCUAAGCUGCAACUGACAUUGAGGCUCGAAAGUGUGGGUAUCAAACAGGAUUAGAUACCCUGGUAGUCCACACGGUAAACGAUGAAUACUCGCUGUUUGCGAUAUACAGCAAGCGGCCAAGCGAAAGCGUUAAGUAUUCCACCUGGGGAGUACGCCGGCAACGGUGAAACUCAAAGGAAUUGACGGGGGCCCGCACAAGCGGAGGAACAUGUGGUUUAAUUCGAUGAUACGCGAGGAACCUUACCCGGGCUUAAAUUGCAGAUGAAUUACGGUGAAAGCCGUAAGCCGCAAGGCAUCUGUGAAGGUGCUGCAUGGUUGUCGUCAGCUCGUGCCGUGAGGUGUCGGCUUAAGUGCCAUAACGAGCGCAACCCUUAUGGACAGUUACUAACGGGUGAAGCCGAGGACUCUGUCUAGACUGCCGGCGCAAGCCGCGAGGAAGGUGGGGAUGACGUCAAAUCAGCACGGCCCUUACGUCCGGGGCGACACACGUGUUACAAUGGCAGGUACAGAAGGCAGCCAGUCAGCAAUGACGCGCGAAUCCCGAAAACCUGUCUCAGUUCGGAUUGGAGUCUGCAACCCGACUCCAUGAAGCUGGAUUCGCUAGUAAUCGCAGAUCAGAAUGCUGCGGUGAAUGCGUUCCCGGGUCUUGCACACACCGCCCGUCAAG